GGGUAGUCCUAGCCGUAAACGAUGUGAGCUAGGUGUCAGUCACACUGCGAGUGUGGCUGGUGCCGUAGGGAAGCCGUGAAGCUCACCACUUGGGGAGUACGGCCGCAAGGCUGAAACUUAAAGGAAUUGGCGGGGGAGCACCACAACAGGUGGAUGCUGCGGUUUAAUUGGAUACAACGCCGGAAAUCUCACCGGGGGCGACAGCAAUAUGAAGGUCAGGCUGAAGACCUUACCCGAUUCGCUGAGAGGAGGUGCAUGGCCGUCGUCAGUUCGUACUGUGAAGCAUCCUGUUAAGUCAGGCAACGAGCGAGACCCAUGUCCACAAUUGCCAGCAUAUCCUCAGGGAUGAUGGGCACAUUGUGGGGACCGCCUCUGCUAAAAGAGGAGGAAGGAAUGGGCAACGGUAGGUCAGUAUGCCCCGAAUCUCCCGGGGCUACACGCGGCAUACAAUGGACGGGGACAAUGAGUAUCGACCCCGAAAGGGGGAAGGCAAUCCCAUAAA
RNAcentral lists this ribosomal RNA (502 nucleotides) under uncultured prokaryote. RNAcentral describes it as "bacterial SSU rRNA". It matches the Rfam family "Archaeal small subunit ribosomal RNA", at positions 739 to 1236 of the family's 1478-position model. The record is from RNAcentral.